CUGUGUGGGUGCUGUUCACCCCAGAAGGCUACAUGUCACCCUCCCGGGGCUUGGGGGCAGGUGAUCUGCUGCAAACUUGGGGCUCAUGCUGCCGGCCGUGCUGGCUGGCUUCCCUCCGUCAAAUCUCAGCUUCAUGUCCUUCGAGGAAAGAGAGGCCUGUCUUGACCAGAUCUCCCAUCACUCUGUUACAGCAUCUUCAGUAUUUUUCUUCAUUACACAUCAUCACAAUUGACAGCCGAAUCAUCUUUUCUGUGCCAGACUUCUCCAUCAAGGGCUGAAGUUACAGAAACGGAUAAAAAUGGUCUCUGGUGUCAAAGAGAUCCUGGAUAGUCAUGAGAAAGACAAUCCAGUGAAGAGAAAGUAUCGCUCUGAGGGAGAGAAGAGACGCUGGCGGGAUGCACAGGGCUGCUCUAUGAAACCCAGGGGCUGUCAAGUGUUGUGGAAGCAAGACGUGAACUAUCAGGAGCCAGGACUGGCUGGUGGUCUCACACUUCCCCAGCUCGGAGUUUCUUUCCUCCGUACCUUCUCUCUCUCUC
This is a long non-coding RNA of Lontra canadensis (Northern American river otter), 536 nucleotides long. RefSeq lists it as uncharacterized. Lineage: Eukaryota; Metazoa; Chordata; Mammalia; Carnivora; Mustelidae. The record is from RefSeq and is a predicted model, not a curated record. The transcript has 3 exons.